GCGUAGUUUUAAAAGUUAGUGAUAAAGGAUUUCUUCCCCAUUUUCCUCACAUCUCCCACUCUCUCUCCCUCUCUCUUAUUUGUUGUCCCUUUCUUUCUUUUGUCUCAUUUUCCCAUUUUUUUGUUUGUUUCAUUCUUUCCACUUUGGUUUUUCAUGUAGUGGCAACUGUGAGUUUUUCUUCCAUUUUUUCUUUGUUGUUUUCUUUUCUUGUUCGUUCUAUUUCCUAAUUCUUCUCUUAAACAAUCCAUUUCCAUUCUUUUUGAAGACGUCUUUUGUAAGGUACUACGGUUGUUUAUUCCAUCUAUUGCCAACUCUUCCUCUAUUU
This 325-nucleotide long non-coding RNA is filed under the name Gossypium raimondii (Peruvian cotton). Its description in RNAcentral is "long non-coding RNA (GRAI_LNC005655)". The record is from RNAcentral. Lineage: Eukaryota; Viridiplantae; Streptophyta; Magnoliopsida; Malvales; Malvaceae.